AUGAAGGGGCAGCAUGCCUGGGCAAAUCUACGAUGUUCCUAUUACAAAGAUGGCAAACUUGCUAGAAUUGACAGUGAAAAAGAGAAGAUAUGGCUUGGUAUUAUGGUGCAAACUGAGAGCUGGAUUGGUUUAAUGCAAGGAGGAACUACAUGGAAAUGGAGUGGUGAUAGUAAAGAUAUAGAUCCAUCAAAAUAUUCUUGGUAAGUUUCAGCUGUUCUACUAUGAUCUAUUUCUGAAAGUCUCGGAGAAAAAUAAUUAUUUUCAGUACAAAGAGACAUACAAGGUAUAUGUCUGUUUUGUCCUGGGUGCACUACAGCUGCUUUAGUUCUACAGAGUGUCUUUUGAAAAAAAAUAUUUCCUUUUGUUUAGUUUGAAAAUGAUUAAACAACAAUUCUUAAAUGUUUUGUUUAAUGAACUCACCAUGGAUGCUUUAUCCGUGCUAUUGUUUUCUGAAAAUGGACAGAUUUGAAAAUGAGAAAAGUGCAUAGUUGCAGUGGCCAAGCAAAAUACUGUGUCUGGAGCUUUGGGGCAGAACUCCCACUUCUAUAGAUGUAUGAAACAGUGGCUAAGAUUGAACAGGACCCAAAGAACAGGGGGGGAAAAUUGGUGAGGAGAUGCAGUAGAUGCAGCACAUUUGAAAACACACUUCUUACAGUUAAUACAAAUAAGAAAUAGCAAUUUUUAUAAUAAUGGCACUGAUAUUGUCAAUUGUUUUAUACAAGGCUUGUUUCUUUAAUGGCUCUGUUAAAAAGACUGUGGAGGUUCUAUCUACUGUAUAUACCUGAAGAUAAGCCAAGUUUUUCAGCCCUAUUUUUAAGCUGAAAAAACCUCCCCUGGCUUAUAAUCGGGUCAAGACCAGCAACGGAGCCUGCAGGCUAUUGCUUGCAAUAUAUGAUAUAUUUCUCUCUUACCCUCCCUUAUCAGUGUUUACUUUUCCAAAGCCUCCCUCACUCUUAAUCAAGGGAAUGUUUGAAACGGGAAAGAUGCCCUUACAAGUCAAGAAGAAGAAAAAUAAAUAUUCAUUAAUCUUAUGAAAGCAUUUUCCCCUGAAAUAUUUGUUAAACUCUCCUACAGAUAUAUAGGCAUUAACCCAUUGCAAGCUUUUGCAAUCCUUAUGUACCUAUAUCUAUCUAUCUAUCUAUCUAUCUAUCUAUCUAUCUAUCUACAUUAAUUUUAUAUAUGAAUUUUCCCCUCAUAUGUUUGCAAGUCUCUGCAAAUCCUAUAUAUAUAUAGUUAUAUAUAUAUAAAGAGAGAUGAUAGAUAUGAAUAUAUUCUUAUCUACCUAUAUAUAGGGCUUGUAAAUAUUACAGGGGAGAAAUGGCUUACAAAUAUUGUAGGGGAAAUGCACACACACACACAUAGAGGAUUGGCAAACAUUUUAGGGGAAAAUGCAUAUGUGAAAUUAGUAUCUAUAAUUAUAGAUCUAUAUCUGCAUUGUUUAUAUAAGCAUUGAAUGUUUGCCUGUUACUAUGUUGGCAGCUGGCCUGAGUCCCCAUGGGGAGAUAGGGUGGGAUCCAAAUGAAGUUUUUAUUAUUACUACUACUACUACUACUACUACUAUAAGGUUAUUGUUGAUACCUUUUUUGUUGCCUCUACAUUUCCACUUAUAGAGCUAGUUUAUUGUUUUUCUUUGAAAUACGGUAAAUAUUCAAAAACAUUUAACCUACUGAUACCUCAAUUAAUGUCAUUUUAUUGGUAUCUAUUUUUAUUUUUAAAUUUACCAGUAGCUGCUGCAUUUCGAACCCUCGGCUUAUACUCGAGUCAAUAAGUUAUCCCAGUUUUUUGUAGUAAAAUUAGGUGCUUCGGCUUAUAUUCGGGUCGGCUUAUACUCGAGUAUAUAUGGUAAUUUUUUUUAGCACCUUUUACUGAGUCUCCUUAAGAAAGAAAAAGUGCAACAACAAACAACAAUAAUAAUGCCAGUAUUGGAAAUUUGGGGAAGAUUGACAGGCUUUUGAGGCUUGGCUGCCAAAACAUCUUUAAACAAUUAGCCCAGCUUCCCAGUUAGUAGGCCUAUCUUCCACAUUUCAGUAGAAUAAUGCCACUCCAUUUGGCAAUUCUUAGCAACCAACAACAUUAAAAUAGCUAUGCUGAGGUUUUGACAUUCAAAUCAUCAGAAUAAUUCAAAUAAUUUAUUUAGCACACUUUCCUAAACCCUUUCUCUGUCCUUAGAAACUUUGUUGGACUAAAUUUAAUGAGGCAAAGUAUUAUGAAAAUGGCAGAAAUGUACACAAUAUUUCAUUUUCCUUUCUCAUUUUUAAAGACAUAGCUUGCAAAGAAAUUUACCACAGUUUUGCUAAAGGCAGCUUAUUUUUAUACUCAUAAACAGGCUUUGGGAUUUUCCUUCGACAGCAAGUGGAUGUGUUCAGAUGCUUCCAGGAGCAAGAUUUCAAGCCUUGCCAUGCAGUGAACAUCAUUCCUAUAUUUGUGAGAAAGAAAUAGGUACUAAGCAGAGUAGCUGGUUGUUUGGUACGAGGGCUAUCCACAAAGCAGGUUACAUUUUAGAAUUAAAAAUGAACAAAGUACAGUAGAGUCUCACUUAUCCAACACUUGCUUAUCCAACAUUCUGGAUUAUCCAACACAUUUUUGUAGUCAAUGUUUUCAAUACAUUGUGAUAUUUUGGUGCUAAAUUCGUAAAUACAGUAAUUACUUCAUUGCAUUACUGCGUAUUGAAUUACUUUUUCUGUCAAAUUUGUUGUAUAACAUGAUGUUUUGAUGCUUAAUUUGUAAAAUCAUAACCUAAUUUGAUGUUUAAUAGGCUUUUCCUUAAUCCCUCCUUAUUAUCCAACAUAUUCGCUUAUCCAACGUUCUGCCGGCCCAUUUAUGUUGGAUAAGUGAGACUCUAUUGUAUAGGAGAAAACAUUUACCAUAUGCAGUUGAAAGCCACACCCAAAUACCACAUCUCACGUAAUUGCCAUUCAAAUUUAGGCACUUACCAUAGCGAUGAAUGAGCUUUGUAAAUCCUUCCCCAC
Molecule: long non-coding RNA, 2969 nt
Organism: Anolis carolinensis (green anole)
Lineage: Eukaryota; Metazoa; Chordata; Lepidosauria; Squamata; Anolidae
Source: Ensembl